This 805-nucleotide ribosomal RNA is filed under the name delta proteobacterium SCGC AAA166-E16. RNAcentral's name for it is "bacterial SSU rRNA". It matches the Rfam family "Bacterial small subunit ribosomal RNA", at positions 72 to 851 of the family's 1533-position model. Lineage: Bacteria; Deltaproteobacteria. The record is from RNAcentral.
UCCCGAGCUUGCUUGGGAGAGUAAAGUGGCGCACGGGUGAGUAACGCGUGGGUAACCUACCUUUGAAUCUGGAAUAACCAGCCGAAAGGCUGACUAAUACCGGAUACGGUUUUGAGGACUUAGGUUCUCUAAAUUAAAGGUGACCUCUUCAUGAAAGUUGCCGUUCAUAGAUGGGCCCGCGUACCAUUAGCUAGUUGGUGGGGUAAUGGCCUACCAAGGCGACGAUGGUUAGCUGGUCUGAGAGGAUGAUCAGCCACACUGGAACUGGAACACGGUCCAGACUCCUACGGGAGGCAGCAGUGAGGAAUUUUGCGCAAUGGGGGAAACCCUGACGCAGCAACGCCGCGUGAGCGAAGAAGGCCCUCGGGUCGUAAAGCUCUGUCAAGUGGGAAAAAAAUCUUUUGAUCAAUAGUCAAAAGACUUGAUGGUACCACUGGAGGAAGCACCGGCUAACUCCGUGCCAGCAGCCGCGGUAAUACGGAGGGUGCAAGCGUUGUUCGGAUUUACUGGGCGUAAAGAGCGUGUAGGCGGUUUAGCAAGUCAGAUGUGAAAGCCCUGGGCUCAACCCGGGAAGUGCAUUUGAAACUGCUUCACUAGAGUAUGGGAGAGGAGAUUGGAAUUCCUGGUGUAGAGGUGAAAUUCGUAGAUAUCAGGAGGAACACCCGUGGCGAAGGCGAUUCUCUGGACCAAUACUGACGCUGAGACGCGAAAGCGUGGGGAGCAAACAGGAUUAGAUACCCUGGUAGUCCACGCCGUAAACGAUGAGAACUAGGUGUAGUGGGUAUUGACCCCUGCUGUGCCGAAG